Molecule: ribosomal RNA, 1121 nt
Filed under: uncultured archaeon
Lineage: Archaea
Description: bacterial SSU rRNA
Rfam family: Archaeal small subunit ribosomal RNA
Source: RNAcentral
ACGGGGCGCAGCAGGCGCGAAAAUUGUACAAUGCGCGAAAGCGCGACACGGGGAGCUUGAGUGUCUUGGCAUAGCCAAGACUUUUCUUAUACCUAAAAAGUAUAAGGAAUAAGUGCUGGGUAAGACGGGUGCCAGCCGCCGCGGUAACACCCGCAGCACAAGUGGUGGUCACUUUUAUUGAGCCUAAAGCGUUCGUAGCCGGUUUUGUAAAUCUUCAGGUAAAUCCUGAAGCCUAACUUCAGAAGGCCUGAAGAGACUGCAAAACUUGAGAUCGGGUGAGGUUAAACGUACUUUCAGGGUAGGGGUAAAAUCCUGUAAUCCUGGAAGGAAGACCGGUGGCGAAGGCGUUUAACUAGAACGAAUCUGACGGUGAGGAACGAAGGCUAGGGUAGCAAACCGGAUUAGAUACCCGGGUAGUCCUAGCUGUAAACACUGCCCACUUGAUGUUGCUUUUCCGUUGAGGGAAGGCAGUGUCGGAGCGAAGGUGUUAAGUGGGCCGCUUGGGAAGUAUGGUCGCAAGACUGAAACUUAAAGGAAUUGGCGGGGGAGCACCGCAACGGGAGGAAUGUGCGGUUUAAUUGGAUUCAACGCCGGAAAACUCACCGGGAACGACCUGUGGAUGAGAGUCAACCUGACGAGUUUACUCGAUAGCAGGAGAGGUGGUGCAUGGCCGUCGUCAGCUCGUACCGUAGGGCGUUCACUUAAGUGUGAUAACGAGCGAGACCCACAUCUCUAAUUGCUAAUGUAUAUGCGAAUAUACAUGCACUUUAGAGAGACCGCCAUCGCUAAGAUGGAGGAAGGAGCGGUCGACGGCAGGUCAGUACGCCCCGAAUUUCCCGGGCUACACGCGCAUUACAAAGAACGGGACAAUGCGUUGCAACCUCGAAAGGGGAAGCUAAUCGCGAAACCCGUCCAUAGUUAGGAUUGAGGGCUGUAACUCGCCCUCAUGAAUCUGGAUUCCGUAGUAAUCGCGGGUCAACAACCCGCGGUGAACAUGCCCCUGCUCCUUGCACACACCGCCCGUCAAACCAUCCGAGUUGGUGUUGGAUGAGGCUUAAUUCGAGAGGGUUAAGUCAAAUCUGAUGUUGGUGAGGAGGGUUAAGUCGUAACAAGGUAGCCGU